Molecule: ribosomal RNA, 406 nt
Filed under: uncultured bacterium
Lineage: Bacteria
Description: partial 16S ribosomal RNA
Rfam family: Bacterial small subunit ribosomal RNA
Source: RNAcentral
AUUGAACGCUGGCGGCAGGCCUAACACAUGCAAGUCGAACGAGUGGCGGACGGGUGAGUAAUGUCUGGGAAACUGCCUGAUGGAGGGGGAUCACUACUGGAAACGGUCGCUAAUACCGCAUACCAUCUGAUUUGCCCAGGUGGGAUUAGCUAGUUGGUGGGGUAACGGCUCACCAAGGCGACGAUCCCUAGCUGGUCUGAGAGGAUGACCAGCCACACUGGAACUGAGACACGGCCCAGACUCCUACGGGAGGCAGCAGUGGGGAAUAUUGCACAAUGGGCGCAAGCCUGAGGGAGCCAUGCCGCGUGUAUGAAGAAGGCCUUCGGGUUGUAAAGUACUGUCGGCGGAGAGGCGUUACCCGCAGAAGAAGCACCGGCUAACUCCGUGCCAGCAGCCGCGGUAAUAC